UUCUACUGCUACAACCAAGGGCGAAGAGGCAAAUCAAAGGCCGCCAAAUCUGUUUCAAGAUCCUCAAAGGCCGGUCUUCAAUUUCCCGUCGGUAGAAUCGCUUAGAUUCCUCAAGGCAGGUAAAUACGCCGAACGUGUUGGUGCUGGUGCUCCCGUUUACCUCUCCGCCGUUCUCGAAUAUCUCGCCGCUGAGGUUUUGGAAUUGGCUGGGAAUGCUGCCAGAGACAACAAGAAGAAUCGUAUUGUUCCAAGGCAUAUUCAGCUUGCUGUAAGGAACGAUGAGGAACUGAGCAAGCUUUUGGGAACUGUAACCAUUGCUAAUGGCGGUGUUUUGCCUAAUAUUCAUCAAACUUUGUUACCUAAGAAGGUUGGAAAGGGAAAAGAAGAAAUUGGAUCUGCAUCUCAAGAAUUCUAG
This 415-nucleotide long non-coding RNA is filed under the name Vicia faba (fava bean). Lineage: Eukaryota; Viridiplantae; Streptophyta; Magnoliopsida; Fabales; Fabaceae. The record is from RNAcentral.